This is a long non-coding RNA of Hippocampus comes (tiger tail seahorse), 267 nucleotides long. RefSeq lists it as uncharacterized. The transcript is spliced from 2 exons. NCBI's taxonomy places the organism in Eukaryota, Metazoa, Chordata, Actinopteri, Syngnathiformes, Syngnathidae. The record is from RefSeq and is a predicted model, not a curated record.
AAUGUCACGGCCCCGUAAUCCCACCGAAAUAGAUCCGCCCAUGGAUCGAACGGCAUCUGAAUCGCAUUUCCGUAUUCAGAAUCAAAAACGACAUUAUUUUCCAUCAGGAAGUUGUAAGAAAGCAAUUUUGUUACUAUUUGAGGUCUUAGUAGUUUCUCUAAUAGUCUCUUUGCAUACCUCAAAGUUCUAACUGCCAAUCCAUUUUCUGGACUAGUUACCUAAUGUUCUUUUUUUUUUUUUUUUUUUUAGCACACGCUACGGACGGCU